AUGCUGUUGAAGGAGAAGUUAUUCGCUCUCGCUCUCUCGCUCGCACACACCUCCAAAUCUCAUCGUCUUCCUUCUCCUCCCGUCAUCCACCAAAAACCCUUACAUCACACAAUUCUCGAACCUUCUCGAUCGUUUCCGUCUCCGCCAAUCCCUCCAUUCAUAUCGAAUUUCGCACACUCCGUUACAAUUGAUAUGAACGGUGUAAUUAUCGCUUAA
Vicia faba (fava bean) is the source of this 216-nucleotide non-coding RNA. Lineage: Eukaryota; Viridiplantae; Streptophyta; Magnoliopsida; Fabales; Fabaceae. The record is from the annotation of a GenBank genome assembly.